AGCGAACGCUGGCGGCAGGCUUAACACAUGCAAGUCGAACGGUCCUUCGGGAUAGUGGCGGACGGGUGAGUAACACGUGGGAACGUACCCUAGGUUCGGAACAACACAGGGAAACUUGUGCUAAUACCGGAUAAGCCCUUCGGGGGAAAGAUUUAUCGCCUUUGGAGCGGCCCGCGUCUGAUUAGCUUGUUGGUGAGGUAAUGGCUCACCAAGGCUACGAUCAGUAGCUGGUCUGAGAGGAUGGCCAGCCACACUGGGACUGAGACACGGCCCAGUCUGCUACGGGAGGCAGCAGUGGGGAAUCUUGCGCAAUGGGCGAAAGCCUGACGCAGCCAUGCCGCGUGGAUGAUGAAGGUCUUAGGAUUGUAAAAUCCUUUCACCGGGGACGAUAAUGACGGUACCCGGAGAAGAAGCCCCGGCUAACUUCGUGCCAGCAGCCGCCGUAA
This 446-nucleotide ribosomal RNA is filed under the name uncultured bacterium. Its description in RNAcentral is "partial 16S ribosomal RNA". It matches the Rfam family "Bacterial small subunit ribosomal RNA", at positions 29 to 523 of the family's 1533-position model. The record is from RNAcentral.